UGUAACAUUGUAUGUAAUAAAUAACUAUUAUUGUACAUAUACAGGGUUGGGCAAAAGUCCGGCAACGGUCAAAUAUCUCAAAAAGGAUCAACUAUAGCAAAAAAUAUGUAAGUAGCAAAGUUGUAGGGUUUACUAAAAUGUACCUAAUAAUGACGAAAAAUUUGAUUUUGGAUGGAGGAUGAAGAUCAUAUAAAGGUAAAAUUAAAUUUUUUAAAUGGAACUGCCUACUUUUUAUUACACAAUCUUAUAGCUUAUUUUGAUACCUUUCUAAAACACUAUAAAUAAAUGUUUUAUUAUUAAGUAUUUUUUGAGUUACAAAACUUGAAAGUUACAGUACCGUCGGCAUAACCCAAAGUGCACCGCGUGGAGGUUGCACGGUCAGAUUUGCACUUCGUGUGCGUGCGUACGUGUGUGUAGCAGCAGAGAUUAGGACCCGACGGUUCGUCACUUCCGCGGUAUUUAGUGACUCCAAAUCCUCUCUGCUGUGUGUGUAAGUGAUAUACCUUUGAAAAUAUCAUUUCCUAUUUUUUCAAUUAAUCAAAUGUUCAAAAUGUCUUUCUUCUAUCGUUUGACAAUGAGCUAAACGCUCAUAGAAAUUAUUGAUCACAUUUCUUAUUUGUUCUAAAGUGAUCAGAGAUGUUUCCUGUGUUAUUCAGUUGCUAAGGUCUUCCAAAUUACGUGAUUUUGCCGCAUAAACCUUACUUUUGAGAUGUUCCCAAAAAAAAUAAUCAAGAGAAGACAAAUCAGGUGAUUUAGCAGGCCAUUCAAUGGUACCUCUCCUACCUAUCCAUCGAUUAGGAAAACCACGGUUUAGAAGUUCUCGAAUUCUUACUGCAUAAUGAGGUCCUGCUCCAUCUUGAUGGAACCACACGUUUUCAUUCAAAUUAGCACCUAUAAAAAAUGGGCUAAUAAUACCGCGACUACAGAUUCCUGCCCAGACAUUCAAUUUUUGUGGAUACUGUGUGCGAAGAUCACUCAUCCAAUGUGGAUUGUCAUCACUCCAAUACCUACAAUUGUGACGAUUAACAGCACCGUUUAUUUCAAAUGUGGCUUCGUCAGAACAAACAUAAUUUAAAAAAUCAGCUUUAUUACUUUGAUGCAUGAUUUCUUCACAAAAUUGAAUUCUUCUACAAUCGUUUUCCAUAAGUUCUUGAGUGAUCAUCAUUUUAUAAAAAUAUCUGUCUUUUUAAAAUUUUUUUAACGCUCCUGGAACUGACAUUAUGGGCUUGCGCUGUUUUGGGUACAGAUAAAUGAGGAUUUUCUUGUAAAACGAUCCAAACUAUCAUCAUUUGUUGCGGAUUUUGGCCUUCCGCCGGGAGGUUGGUCUUUAACUGUUCCUGUUUUGUGAAAACGUAUCACUAUCCUCUGAACGGUGGAUUUAGAAAUAGGAUUGCGAUUAGGAUACGUAGCACACACGCGCGCACACACGCGCGCGCGCGCGCGCGCGUGUGUGUGUGUGUGUGUGUGUGUGUGUGUGUGUGUGUGCGCGUAUAUUCAUUAUUUGUGACGUAUAUAAGUGACGUUAUAUAAGACAUUCUACAGGAGAGGCUUUUUGGGAUAAUUUCUGUAGUUUCUGAUAAAGCAACAAUAUUUUAGUAAUAUAAUUUUCAGUUAAUU
Long non-coding RNA from Solenopsis invicta (red fire ant), 1617 nucleotides. RefSeq lists it as uncharacterized. The transcript has 2 exons. Lineage: Eukaryota; Metazoa; Arthropoda; Insecta; Hymenoptera; Formicidae. The record is from RefSeq and is a predicted model, not a curated record.